This 5837-nucleotide unclassified non-coding RNA is filed under the name Leishmania donovani. Its description in RNAcentral is "gene:LdHU3.27.0470(CDS-product:Nuclear_pore_compl ex_protein_158)". The record is from RNAcentral. Lineage: Eukaryota; Euglenozoa; Kinetoplastea; Trypanosomatida; Trypanosomatidae.
AGCAGUAGACAGUCGAAUCGCAGCGGUGCGUGCGUGUGUGCGCGGGGUGCUAAUGAACGCGUUUGGUGGCGGUUUCAACCAAAACAAACCUGGUGGCUUUGGCCAGCAGGCGCAACCAGCGCAAGCGGCAUUCGGCCAGCAGGCGCAGGCAGGAGGCUUUGGACAACAGCCGCCGCAGCAGGUCGGCGGCUUCGGCCAGCAGACGGGUGGAUUUGGCCAACCGGCACAACCACAAAGCGGAUUUGGCCAGGCGGGUAUGUCGCAAGCAGCGGGCGGCUUUGGCCAGGCUCAGCAGCAGCCAGUCGCCGGCUUCGGGCAGCAACCGCAGGUUAGUGGAUUUGGCCAGCAGGCGACCCAACAGGGUGCCGGAUUCGGGCAGCAGGCGGGUGGAUUUGGCCCGCAGUCGCAGCAGCAAGGCGGCUUUGGUCAAGCGGCUGCAGCGCCACAGACUGGGGCCUUUGGCCAGCAGCCGCCGCAGCAGAUGAGUGGCUUUGGCCAACAGUCUCAGCAGCAGGUCGGUGGCUUCGGCCUGCAGCCCGCCACUGCUAUGGGGGGCUUUGGGCAGCAGCCGCAGCAGGCAGGCGGAUUCGGGCAGCAGACGGGUGGAUUUGGCCAGCAGUCGCAGCAGCAAGGCGGAUUUGGACAAACGCCGCCACAGCAGCAGAGCGGUUUCGGACAGGCGGCUGCCGGCGGCUUCGGUGCGGGGCGAGGCGGCGUUGGCUUCGGUGCAGCUGGCGGCUUUAAUCAGUCAACAGCGCAGGGAGGAGGGUUCGGUGCUUCUCAGCCGGCCGUGAAUGCUUUUGGGCGACCACAGCAAGCGCAGGGUGGAUUUGGCACCCAGACCACUGCUGGUGCUCAGCUCGGCGGCGGACAGGGCACGGGUGGCUUUGGCGCUGCUCCUCAGGGCGGCUUCGGCUCACAGCAGCCGGCGCCUGGUGGCUUUGGCCAACAGGCGGCUACCGGCGGCUUCGGCCAGUCCGCUGCACCAGGUGGCUUCGGCACUGCACAACAGACUGGUGCUGGUGGGUUCGGUGCUGGACGCGGCACUACAGGCUUUGGCGGGCCGCAGGCCACCGCCGGUGGCUUCGGCGCCGGCCGCGGGGCCACCGGCUUCGGACAGGCUGCGCAGGGUGGGUUCGGUGCGCAGCAGCCAGCCGCCAGUGGGUUUGGACAAGUGCAGCAGCAGGCGGCCGGCUUCGGAGCACAGCAGGCGACGACCGGGGGCUUUGGGCAACCUGCUCAGGGCGGCUUUGGCAACGGUGCUUCCCAAACCAUCACUGGUGGUGGAUUUGGCGGGGCCCAGCAACAACAGCCGCAGGGCUCCGCCGGCGGGUUCGGAGCUCAGCCCAGCGCCGCAGGCGGCUUCGGACAGGCCACCGGUGGCUUUGGAGCUCAGCAGCCAGCUGUUAGUGGAUUCGGCCAGGCAGCGCAAGGCGGCGCCUUCGGCCAGCAGUCACAGCCCGCCGCGGGCGGGUUCGGCGCAGGCCGCGGCACCACCGGCUUCAAUGUCGGGGGCGGCUUUGGGGGCUCACAGCAACAGCCGCAGACCGCCGCGGGCGGAUUUGGGGCCCCGAAAGGCGCGGCAGGUGGGUUUGGGCAGGCCGCUGGUGGCGGAUUUGGACAAGGAGUGGGCGGCUUUGGCGCACAGCAGCCAAAAGCUGGCGGCUUCGGUCAAGCAGCCCCCGCUACCGGCUUCGGGCAGGCUGCCCCCGCCACUAGCUUCGGCCAGGCUGCCUCCGCUUCUGGCUUCGGUGCGCAGCCGCCGGCCACUGGUGGCUUUGGGCAGGCACCUGCUGCAGCAGCACUUGCCAGUGCGCCGGCCGCUGGCUCUGGCGUGAAUGUGGGCCGUCCCACUGACUUGGCUUUCAUGUCCCUUCCUGACUACAACGCAACGCCGUAUGGCAACGUGCUGCUCUUCGACUCAUACGAGCGGCCUCAGGCGGCCAAGCAGACGGCGAAGACGAUCGAGGAUGACUUGAAGCCCGUUGUACCUCCAGCCCGUCGGGCGAUGCACACGUGGAUGGUGACGCAGAUGCGGGUGCCUGACGAGAACACGUUGAUGAAGCAAGUACCAGCGUCCCUCGCCUCGAGCGCCCUGUCGCCAGUGGCGCUGAAGGAGAUGCUGGUCCCUGCUGUGCAGCUCGGCGGCGCCGCGGCAGGAGAGCCCGCCGGGGCGCAGAAGCGGGUGUCGCACGACUCGCCACGGCGGCCGUCGCCCGCGACGGCGGAUGCGCCGAUCGUCAACGCCGCUGUGCCACGGUGCACCAACCCUGAGUAUACCCUGGAGCCCAGCCUCGCUCAGCUGGCCACCUACACCCCCGAGGAGCUCCGCCGCGUCUCACGCUUCACGAUUAGUCGUCUCGACGGCUCGUGUGAGGUACGCUUUCUGGAGCCGGUGAACCUGGUGCGCGUCGACGUAGCCGCGGUGGUGCACCUCGGCAGUGACGGGCACGUUGCAUUGUACCCUGACGGCGACGCCCCGCCCUUGUCGAGCGGUUUGAACGUGCGAGCCGAGGUGCGGGUGCGCGAUCCUACCGGCAAGGCCACGGAGGGCAUCGCCCGCUACUGCGCGGAAACGCGCGCCCACUUCGUGGGUCACCGGCAGGGGUGUUGCGUCUACCGUCUGAACGACAGCAGUUCCGCGGCCGGCGCGUCCCGUGCGGCUCUUGGGCAGGAUGCGAGCGACACCGCCCCGCUCUCCAUCAUCCACGACGAGGAUGAGCACUCGCACAACCUCGACCCCUCGAGUGACGACAGUGAGGAGGAAGACACAGACGACAUACGCAGCGCCGAUCAGCCGCAGGCGGCCACUGGUAGCGGAGGCGCACUGGCGAUUGCCGAUGCGGAAGUGCGCACGUACACGGUGCCGCCGCCACCAGCGACGCGAAGGCCAGUGGUAGAGCGGCGCCUGACGCUGGCUUCGGCUGCUGACUUCGAUCUGCCGUACGCCCUGCCGGACAUGAGCGUGGAGAGCAAGUGCGAGCCGUUCUCGGUGAAGCUGGGGACAUCGCGCCGCACGACUGAGCCGCGCGUGUACUACGUGCGCGCGCAGGAGUCGAUCAUUCAGCGCACCUACGUCAACCAUCCACCGCGGUUGCAGCCCUCGGAGCGGACGAUUCGCGGCAUGCUAGCGAGGAGCGUGCGAGCCGGCUGGAGCACUGCCGGCAGCGUUGCGUUCCCGUCGCACGCGGAGUUACGCGACGGGGCGGAGGUGGGUGGCGCGGUGCCAGAGGUGGUGGGUGCCUGCGCCGUUGCCGCCACUCCGUUUCACUGGCACAAGCCGUCCCAGAAAGCGCUCACCCAGUGCGCUGUGGCGCUGCUUCGCCUGUUUCUGCAGCACACCGACGUGGCAGACGACGCGGCGUGUCCACUGGCAUCGAUUCAUCUCCACCGCAACAAGAGCCACAACACGCUCUCGGCGGAGAAGCUGAAGGUGGCGUCCAAUGCCAUCGAAGGCGUGAUCUCGGCAGCUGGCAAGGCAUCUCUCUCUCGCGUAGAGCUGCUCUCCACGCGGCAGACCUGCACCGUCCUCUCCCUUCUCUCCGCCCUCUACGCCCUGCCUGAGGCGGACGCCGCUGUCCCGAACGCGAUGGAGGAGGCGCGGUACCUUACGCAGCUGCGCCAUCGAAAUCUGGCUGGCUGGCUGAAAACGGAGCUCGCUGCCUUUCUCGACAGCUCCGCUACGCGUGCGGUGAAGUUGUCCCCUGCGGAGGAACUGGUGCAGGCUAUGCUGUGCCACAGGCUUCGCGAGGCCCGCGCCUCCGCUCAGUCGGUCGCGAACGCGGAGCUGGCGCGUGUGGUGCGCGUGUGCGGGGAGGGGAACCAGUUUGGCGGCUACAUCGAGAUGGCGAAGAGCGGGUUCAAGGACGGUGAGGAGGUGCGUCAGCGUGUCGUGAGCCUCCUCUCUGGCAAGGUGGAACCCUUCAUCCGUGACGAGGAGUACACGGGCCUGGACGAAGAGACAGCUGAGGUAUGCGCGGCCCCGACGGCGGCCACGUGGAAACAGCUGCUGGGCAUCUUCACUUUCUACGGCUGUGUCCCGGAUACGCCGGCCGAGGACAUAAUUCAUGCCUUCCUCGAGCGGCUGCGCGCACCGUCGUCGCGCAAGCUCAAUCCUUUGCCUCCGUACGCCGAACGUGUCGACACCGCUGUGCUGCGGACGCACCGUGGGAAAGAUGUUGUGCGGCGCGGCAACACCUUCCAAGAUGCUGCGUUGCUGCUCUUGGAAGGAUUCGCCAACGGCUCGGCUCCCCCGGCUGCCUGCCUGCACCCCCACGCGUCGAGCUACUCGGGCGCCGACUAUCUCACUGCCUUCGUGAUUGUGGCUGCGAUCCGCGCUGUCCAAGUACCGAGGGAGCAAGCCUACAGAGAUGCGGAGCUGUCGGUGCUUCUCGGCAUGACGGCAGAACUCGAGUGCAACGACGAGACGUGGUUCUGGGGCCUCCUUCCUCUGCACAUGAUCGAGUCGCCCGCCAACCGCCUCGACGCCGUGCGCGCGUUUUGCAAACGCAACGCCAUGCGUGCCAGCGUUCAGAAGCAGCUGGGCGAGCCCCAGGCGGAUUACGAUAGAUUAGUAAGCCUGAUGCGUGUGAACGAGGGCUGGCUGGAGCCGGUUUACGUCCCUCCAGAGGAGGAGAGGAGUGCCGCAGAGAACAUGCCGAGCGUAAGGACGCACGCCGCCCUCGAGAAGGCACUGGCAAAGCUGGCGAUAGAGCCGUGGUAAGGGUAACGCAGCCGGCAAGGGCGUGACGCGACUGAGACAAGGCGUAGCGCACGCACACGGACUCGUGCCAGUGGGUAUCUGUGGACGUUUGUGUGUGUUAGCGUCUCCAUCGGACGGCUUAGAGCAGCGGGCGCGUGUCUUACAUUUUUUUGUCUUCUGUGUUCCUGCCACAUCGCUCGAGCGCUGCACCUUGAUUGAGAAUGGCCUCUGGCCAGUCGUGCGCGCCACUCGCUGUUUCUUACGUGUGUAGGGUAAUGAAGGGGUGCGUGUGCGUAUGCGUGUUUGUGUGUGCGCGUCGUGCGUUGGCUUUUGCCACUUGACUCCGUUGUCAUGGUGAUGGCAGUGCUGCAUGCAUUCUCUCUGUCUUGGGAUGCCAAAAACGUGUCGUGCCUUUGCCAUCCGCAUCAGUCUUUGUCGUUGCCGUGUAGUGGUUCAUUUUGUUUUGCCAGAGAGGGAGGGCAGCGCCUAUGUCGCACCUGCGCGUGUGUGCCUGUGCUGGUCUCUGUGCUUGUAGGGGUUCGCCUGUGGCUUUAGGAGGAGGUGCAGCGACAUGCAGGCACACGCGCGCUAACGCAUCGGUGCCUGACUCGUCUCGUGAAUACACUAUAAGAGAAACACAGAAGCACAGUAUGCGUGCAUCGCGACUCAGCGGCGUGAUUGCGCGCAUGCGCGUGCAUGUGCUUGACAUCGCAAAGGACUGCCACUUCACGCAUCUAGUUCAUAAGGGCGCACGGGAAUUCCUCAGACCCCACUCCACGAUAGGAUCUCUGCACACGAAAUGGAUGGCAGUCGAUGGUGGCAACAUCACACGCUUGUGUGUGCCCUGGAAACAUGUGAGGCUUGGCCCGGUCUCUGUCGAGGACGGCUAGCGCACUCCAGCUGCACGCUGAAGAGGGGCGAUACAUCCAGAGGCCAUAAAGUGUUUACUGCUUUUCUCAGGUGGGCGCACGCAGCGCUGCCGUUGCUGUCAAGGGCACCGUCUGUGGUGCGAGGGCACUGCUGCUCCAUCCUUGUUGUUCUUCGGUUGUAGCUGUGCUUCUGUGUGCUACGUUCCUUGCACCGCUGACGUGUGAAGGGGGCAGAAGGCCUCUCCACGCAUGGCUGCCUCGCCUUG